This 256-nucleotide ribosomal RNA is filed under the name uncultured bacterium. Its description in RNAcentral is "partial small subunit ribosomal RNA". It matches the Rfam family "Bacterial small subunit ribosomal RNA", at positions 26 to 285 of the family's 1533-position model. The record is from RNAcentral.
AGGACGAACGCUGGCGGCGUGCUUAACACAUGCAAGUCGAGCGGAAAGGCCCUUCGGGGUACUCGAGCGGCGAACGGGUGAGUAACACGUGAGCAACCUGCCCUUAGCUCCGGGAUAGCUCCGGGAAACCGGAAUUAAUACCGGAUAUGACCUAGGCCGACAUCGGCUGUGGUGGAAAGUUUUUCGGCUGGGGAUGGACUCGCGGCCUAUCGAGCUUGUUGGUGGGGUAAUGGCCUACCGAAGGCGACGACGGGUA